This is a long non-coding RNA of Fundulus heteroclitus (mummichog), 551 nucleotides long. RefSeq lists it as uncharacterized. Lineage: Eukaryota; Metazoa; Chordata; Actinopteri; Cyprinodontiformes; Fundulidae. The transcript is spliced from 3 exons. The record is from RefSeq and is a predicted model, not a curated record.
GGCGCAGAAGGCCUGAACUGCAGCUGCAGCGUGAUCGUCUGCCGCUGAAUGCUCCUGUGACCCAGCAGCCGUGGGAGCGCGUCCGGAUCGAUGGCCUCGCUGACCGAGCUUGAAGUGUGGACGAUCAUGUUCUCCAUUCUGGUGUUCGCCCUCUUCACGCUCAUCGGGAUGAUCAACGAGGAGUGUCCACGCUCAGAAGAAACUGACGACAAACCCAAAAGCGCAGAGAUGCUGGUGUGACCCUGUGAACUCCUUCCUGUGAGUAAAACUCAACGUGCCGCCUGGUGUGUGGCCGUGGCUUUUUAUCAGUUCAUAAAACAACGUCUGCCGGGCUGACCUCUGAAUGCGUGUUUGUUCGCGGACCUCGCGUAACUUGCUCCCAGGAUGAGGCACAAAGGAGUGGCUUACAUUGUGCAAGCAGAAAAAGCGAUAAAGAGACACCUGCUCCAACAAAGUGGCUCAUGACAGCAUCGCCUGCCUGCUCGCCUUACGGAUGUCAAGAGGGAACAAGGAAAGCUUCCUCAAUCUGGGGAACAGCCCGCAAACUUCUU